AAUCAUUCAUUUUUGACCGUUGGAUCAACAUUUGGAUGAAGAGAUGGAUCAAAUGGAUGGCGCCAUGAAUUGGAACCAUUGGAUUUUCAUCAUAGGAUGAUGGGAGAUCAUGAUGACGUGAUGGAUAUCAUUGGGAGGCGUGGAGAUGAAAAAUAGGUGAAGGAAAGAGAGAGAAUACGUGAAGAUUAAAUGGAUAAGGAUGAACCAUUUAUUUGAUCUUAUCCAUUCUCUCUCUUCUCUCUUCAUCACGCCUAAGGGAUAUAUGGCACCUUCUUUCAUGGCCUUUGGAUCAUCAUCAACACUUGAUGAAUGGAUAAGGUUGGUUCCUAUUUUUCUUGCGUGAGAAGAAGUGAAGAAAGGAAAGAGUACGGCGCAUUUUCAUGAAGAGGUGCUUAGGGAAUCAAGCGCCACAUCAUAAGCGCUUGAUCUUAUCCUAACCACUUUUGAUACGCCUCUCCCUAUUUUUGUGGCGCCUUCUCUCCUCUUAUCACGCCCCAUCUGAAGGAUGUGUGGAUGGGAUGCAUCCU
RNAcentral lists this long non-coding RNA (527 nucleotides) under Phoenix dactylifera (date palm). RNAcentral describes it as "long non-coding RNA (PDAC_LNC021596)". Lineage: Eukaryota; Viridiplantae; Streptophyta; Magnoliopsida; Arecales; Arecaceae. The record is from RNAcentral.